RNAcentral lists this ribosomal RNA (403 nucleotides) under uncultured bacterium. RNAcentral's name for it is "partial 16S ribosomal RNA". It matches the Rfam family "Bacterial small subunit ribosomal RNA", at positions 28 to 526 of the family's 1533-position model. The record is from RNAcentral.
GACGAACGCUGGCGGCGUGCCUAAUACAUGCAAGUCGAACGCAGUGGGGACGGGUGAGUAACACGUGGGUAACCUCCCAUCAGAGGGGAUAACACUUGGAAACAGGUGCUAAACCGAUACUGAUGGAUGGACCCGGGGGGCAUUAGCUAGUUGGUGAGGUAACGGCUCACCAAGGCCACGAUGCAUAGCUGGUCUGAGAGGGUGAUCGGCCACACUGGGACUGAGACACGGCCCAGACUCCUACGGGAGGCAGCAGUAGGGAAUAUUCGGCAAUGGACGAAAGUCUGACCGAGCAACGCCGCGUGAGUGAAGAAGGUUUUCGGAUCGUAAAACUCUGUUGUUAGAGAGGCGGUACCUAAUCAGAAAGCCACGGCUAACUACGUGCCAGCAGCCGCGGUAAUAC